UGUGUGCAGGGUCUAUUGAGAAGGU
RNAcentral lists this non-coding RNA (25 nucleotides) under Mus musculus (house mouse). The record is from RNAcentral. Lineage: Eukaryota; Metazoa; Chordata; Mammalia; Rodentia; Muridae.